CCAAAGGCUCUUUUAAGAGCCACCCACUGUUCUCAAGAAAGAGUC
Non-coding RNA from Danio rerio (zebrafish), 45 nucleotides. NCBI's taxonomy places the organism in Eukaryota, Metazoa, Chordata, Actinopteri, Cypriniformes, Danionidae. The record is from Rfam.